Molecule: ribosomal RNA, 418 nt
Filed under: uncultured bacterium
Lineage: Bacteria
Description: bacterial SSU rRNA
Rfam family: Bacterial small subunit ribosomal RNA
Source: RNAcentral
GACGAACGCUGGCGGCGUGCUUAACACAUGCAAGUCGAACGGAAAGGCCCUUCGGGGUACUCGAGUGGCGAACGGGUGAGUAACACGUGGGUGAUCUGCCCUGCACUUCGGGAUAAGCCUGGGAAACUGGGUCUAAUACCGGAUAUGACCUUGGGAUGCAUGUCCUUGGUGGAAAGCUUUUGCGGUGUGGGAUGGGGCCCGCGGCCUAUCAGCUUGUUGGUGGGGUUAAGGCCUACCAAGGCGACGACGGGUAGCCGGCCUGAGAGGGUGACCGGCCACACUGGGACUGAGAUACGGCCCAGACUCCUACGGGAGGCAGCAGUGGGGAAUAUUGCACAAUGGGCGCAAGCCUGAUGCAGCGACGCCGCGUGAGGGACGACGGCCUUCGGGUUGUAACGUCUUUCUAGCACAGACGAAU